RNAcentral lists this non-coding RNA (26 nucleotides) under Homo sapiens (human). Lineage: Eukaryota; Metazoa; Chordata; Mammalia; Primates; Hominidae. The record is from RNAcentral.
UACCAGCCUUUGCUGAGGUUGAUCUA